UUAGGAAAUGUGCCGGGCAGGGAGGCAUGCCAUUGGCUCACAGAGAACUGUGUUUGUUACAAGUGCCCUUUGUUUUAUUUUUACUGUGGGAAGCAUAAAGUGGCAUGUAAUUUACGAGGCUCGAUUAUUUAUACUCUGAGGCUAAAGAAGGUCACAUCACUUCCCUGGGAUUUGGUUUCCUCAUCAGUAAUGGGAGCUGGUUGAAUUAGCUGAUCUCUCUUCCUUUCCAGAUUAAUAGUCUAUUUUGGUGCAUCUGGGAUGUGUGUUGUGGAAACAAAUUCACAAGCUGGAAUCCAGAUUACAAGCUCCAUGGAAGUAAACUGGACAAGGCUAGGAGUUUACCUGCUUUGCUCACCACUGUACACUCAGCAGCUGUUAAAUGGUAGGUAUAUGGUGAAUAUUUGUAGAAUGAGUAAAAUCAGAUAUAUUACUGAAUACGUAGGAUAUUGUCUCUCACGCAGACUGGGAUUGUCUAUUCUGUGCAAGUCAGGAGGAUGUACAAGGCAGAGCGGAAGUAUUUUACACUGUUUUGUUCUGAAAGAUGAAAGAGAAUGAUCUCUAAUAGAAUCAUGGGGAUUAAAGGAACAUGACACACCAGCGUUACAGAUGAGCGACCAGCCCCAGAGUGGUAAGGGACUCUCCCAAGGUCCUACCAUCAAUAAGCGCUGGGUGGUGGUAGGUAGGCAAACCAAGCAUAGAUCCGGAUGGGGCAGAGAGAGAGGUUCAAUUCUGACCAGCUUGUCCAAACAUAAAAAUCACAAAAUCCAGAAAAACAGUUAUCCUAAUUUCAGCAUGCAGGGAAGUUAUGUCUCAUUUAAAAAUAUUAGUCUUAUUUGAAUUAUGUAAUGGGAGCAGUGGUGGCCUCAUGGUCAUUUCUGUGCUUGGGGCCUCAGAAGAUCUGAAACCUGUCCAAGCCAGAACCAGAAACUGGACUCAGACCCCGCCCCCAGCCCCGCCCACACACACUGCCGGUCCACGCAUUCCUCUUUCCGCCUUUACCAAGAGCGCCACUGUGCCCCGCCUGACUUGAUUCUGAAGGAAAUGCAGAGGGAGGGUGGGGUAGGGAGAAGGAAUGUGGAUGACAGGAUCCCAGCCCAUUAUUCCCUCUUUGUGCCCGGGGAGGCCACAAGUGACACGAGGAAGAACUGUUAGUCACGUUCUUGGCCUUUGUCACAGGUCCUUCCUUCCUUUUCCUCAUGCUUCUAACUUCCCUCUUCCCCUCAUUUCCCAACCACAGCAAACAGGUUUUGCCCUGAAAUUGCAGUCAUGUGACAGGAUCGGUGUGAACUUCAUGGCAUUAGGGAGACAGUAUGAUGCGUUUUCUGUUAGUAGCUCAGAACCAUGGUAUUCUGCUCUCCUUGAAGUAUUCUCUUCUUUUUCUUUCCUUGUUUUCUAAAUCACUUCUCUUUUAGGGAUUGUGGGUAGGAGGAGAUGAGAGAGAGAACAGAAGACUCUCGGCCAGAGGUCAGCCAACCCCCUCUAUAUUCCAGGGGAGCACUGAGGGGUGGCCCUGAGCCACUUCCACUCAACACUCAGUCAGGCCAGCCCAGGAAGAAGCAGGUGCCACCACCAGCCAACCCUCCCUGAGUCACUAUUGACUUUUCUUGAAGCUUUGUUUACAAAAAUCCUUGACCACAGACAAUGAUCUAAUCCCUGGAAUGAGAAGUGGGUGCAGGUUUUGUGGGGCCUGAAAUACAUACAAAGGGACCCCCUUUCAGAAAAAAGACCUGAAAUUAAAAAUACAAAAUUAGCACAGGACUUCAGAAGAGCCCUCUAUAAAUCAGACCCCUUAAACUACGUUAAGCUCUCUUAAACUGUAUUAGCUUCAGGGUCUAUCCUGGGAGGGCUUUUGACUUUUGGACUGAAAGGUUUUCUUUUGUGACAGUAAAUAAUUUAUGAGGGCAAGGAUUGUUUUUUGUUUGCCUUUUCCACCUCUCCAUCAUUUCGCCGCAGGACCUACUCAUUGUGGACAAUAAAUAUUGGUCCAUGAAUGGUGUUUGUGUCGAUGAAACAAUCAGAUAGGCAGGCGUUGUGCAAGACUGAUGGGCCCACUCUAACCAACGUGCUGUGGAACAAGUCUGUCCUGGAAGUAGUGGAGACACAGAGGAGGAAAAGGUCAGUUCUAUUUGGGGCAGAGGCAUAGUGAUCACGAAAAGCUUCAGAGACAAGUUGAUCUCGACUGGAAAGAUGAGUAAAGGUGUGGGGAUGGUGGUGAAAGGCAUUUCAGGCAGAGAGAGCAGUGGAGCUGAAGCAUGGAGGUGUGAAACCACAUAAGGAUUUCAUGGAAUUGUAAGCAGUUUGGUAUCGGCAGGGUAUGGAGCACAAGAUGAAGGGGGAUUCUUAGCAAGAGGUAAGGCUGAGAGGCAGAAAAAGGUGAAAUACUGAGGGCUUCACAGGAGUUUGGACUUUAGUCUGUGAACCAUGGGAGCCAUUGAUGGCUUUAAAGGGAAUAACAUGCAGUGCCUUUUUGUAAUUUUAUUCUGGCACCUGUAUGAAGAACAGAUUGGGGAUGAGGCAGCAAGACACUCAGGACCCUAUUGCAAUUGUGUAAGUGAAAGGCCAUGAAGACCUGAUCAAAUGCUGUGAUGAUGGCGGUGGUAGGGCCAGGCAGAUGAGGAGAGAUGGUGAGAAUG
Molecule: long non-coding RNA, 2633 nt
Organism: Equus quagga
Lineage: Eukaryota; Metazoa; Chordata; Mammalia; Perissodactyla; Equidae
Exons: 3
Source: RefSeq, a predicted model, not a curated record